UGCAGUCGAGCGACGGAUAAGGAGCUUGCUCCUUUGAAGUUAGCGGCGGACGGGUGAGUAACACGUGGGUAACCUACCUAUAAGACUGGGAUAACUUCGGGAAACCGGAGCUAAUACCGGAUAACAUUUAGAACCGCAUGGUUCUAAAGUGAAAGAUGGUUUUGCUAUCACUUAUAGAUGGACCCGCGCCGUAUUAGCUAGUUGGUAAGGUAACGGCUUACCAAGGCGACGAUACGUAGCCGACCUGAGAGGGUGAUCGGCCACACUGGAACUGAGACACGGUCCAGACUCCUACGGGAGGCAGCAGUAGGGAAUCUUCCGCAAUGGGCGAAAGCCUGACGGAGCAACGCCGCGUGAGUGAUGAAGGGUUUCGGCUCGUAAAACUCUGUUAUUAGGGAAGAACAAAUGUGUAAGUAACUGUGCACAUCUUGACGGUACCUAAUCAGAAAGCCACGGCUAACUACGUGCCAGCAGCCGCGGUAAUACGUAGGUGGCAAGCGUUAUCCGGAAUUAUUGGGCGUAAAGCGCGCGUAGGCGGUUUCUUAAGUCUGAUGUGAAAGCCCACGGCUCAACCGUGGAGGGUCAUUGGAAACUGGGAAACUUGAGUGCAGAAGAGGAAAGUGGAAUUCCAUGUGUAGCGGUGAAAUGCGCAGAGAUAUGGAGGAACACCAGUGGCGAAGGCGACUUUCUGGUCUGUAACUGACGCUGAUGUGCGAAAGCG
RNAcentral lists this ribosomal RNA (721 nucleotides) under Staphylococcus sp. Y34-MSE-E14. Its description in RNAcentral is "bacterial SSU rRNA". It matches the Rfam family "Bacterial small subunit ribosomal RNA", at positions 56 to 761 of the family's 1533-position model. The record is from RNAcentral. Lineage: Bacteria; Bacillati; Bacillota; Bacilli; Caryophanales; Staphylococcaceae.